Molecule: long non-coding RNA, 1954 nt
Organism: Pipistrellus kuhlii (Kuhl's pipistrelle)
Lineage: Eukaryota; Metazoa; Chordata; Mammalia; Chiroptera; Vespertilionidae
Exons: 2
Source: RefSeq, a predicted model, not a curated record
AAUUCAAUGGAAAAAAUAGCCUCAAAGAUGGGAUUAACCAAAAAAUGUGCCGCCGCCGCCCCCCCCCCCCCCCCCCCCCUUGCUUUGGGGACCUCCAGGCCUUGCACUCAGCACAGUGGUGUGUGGUUAGGAAUUCCUGACCCAGCGCUGCAAUUUAAGCCACAGCUGAUGUCACAGCUCACUGGCUCGCUGCAGUCCAGCAUUCUUUGGGCAGUCAAAGAAAUACCGCAUUGUGUUUUUUAGUGUGUUGCAUCAGUUUUUUCCCUAUGGAAAAUGUAAAAUCUAACCACAAUUAGUGUACCUCUGUUUGACAUCUGUAAGAGAAUCAGAAUUUCAACAAUAACUUCCAAAAAUGGGUAGGAGCGGCUGCAAACAAAAAUUAGACAUAGUUGUGUGUGUAAAGCGCCUGUGGUACAAGCUCCUGUGACUGAAACAAGCCCUCACCCAGCAGGGACCAACCUAGACCAGGAACCACACAGUGGCCACCUCUCCAGCCCCCACACCUGGAAAAAAUGAGGAAGGACCAGGCUGACAAACCACCCUAUUUAUUCUUGAGCUCACACAGGCCCCAGCCUGCCUUCCCUAAUACAAACAGCCCCCCUUAUUCAUCCAGAGGAGAAAAUGGGGAUAUUGUUAUAUACUGAGGGGUCAGUGUUAGAUGCCAGGCAGACAACAGGCAGCAUCCUGAGGACGGGAUGGGUGCCAACCUUUCUAGUUGGAAUAGGCCCUGCCCACAGCAGUUCCCGGUAUGACAGUUUCCUGAGUAAGGAGGUGGGAAACAGCCCGGACUGGGCUGAGGAGAGCCCAAGGUUCCCUGGUUUGAUAAGCAACACUCCCUGAAUGGCUCUGGCCAAGAGCGCAGUGUAGAAAAAGGAGUUAAAAAAUAGAUUCUUUAGGGACUAUAAAAUAUCUAGGAACCAGCUGCUUACUACAAAAGCUAGACUGGAGGGGUUUUAUCUGAAGUGCUGGGAACUCUCAACUCCCCUCAGGGCCCACAGACCCAACCUGUUCCUACAGGAGUAUCCGUGUAGAACAGAGGCUCUGCCUUCAUGCAGCUCACACACUGGUGGUAAGAGCUAUAACAAAACAAAAAAAAAUAGCCCUGGCAGGCUUGGCUCUGGAUAGAGGCUUGGCCUGUGGACUAAAGGGUCUGGGUUCGAUUCCAGUCAAGGGCACAAGUCCAGGCUUCCAGCUCGAUCCCUCAUAGAGUGUGUAGGAGGCAACUGAUCAAUGAUUCUCUCAUCAUUGAUGUUUCUCUCUCCCUCUUCCUUCCUCUCUGAAAUCAAUAAAAAUAUAUUUUUAAAGAAAAAAGAAAUGCAAUGGUAAUGGCAGGGGUAGGGAGGAAUUACUUCAGGUAGUAAGAGGCCUUUCUGAGGUGAAAUUUGAGCAAAGACCCGAGUGACAAGGAACCCGUCAUGUGACACCUGGGGAAGAGCAUUCUAGACAGAGGGAGCAGCCAGUGUAAAGGCCUUGAGGCAGCACAUUAUCAAGAAAAGGUUAAGGGAGGUGUGGGUUUUCCAGGACAGCACAGUCUGGCUGCCAGCAUCUCCCGUGCCCUACUCACACUGCCUUGAGUUAAAGGUUGAGGGAAGGACAGAGUUAGCAGGGAAAUGUCUAGGAUUUGUCUUCAAAGUAAUUAAUGCAAAACAGCAUGAAGCUUGAAGCUCUUAAUUCUAGUCUGGGGGCAAUAUGGCUCAACUAGAGCCUUGUCCCAUGCACCAAAAGUUGCAGGCUUAAUUCCCCUCAGCACAGACCGAGGUUGUGGGUUCAAUCCCAUCAGAGUGCAUACGGGAAAACCAAUGGAUGUUUUUCUCUCACAUCAAUAUUUCACUGUCUCCCUUCCUCUAGAACAUCAAUAGGUAUGUCCUUGGGUUGGGAAAUAAUAAAAAUAAUUCUGGUUUGGGAUGGAGUAAGAAAAAGCUCUAUCGUGUGAUAAGUGAUGCUUCAGGAUGAA